AUGCCUGAGCCAGCCAAGUCUGCUCCCUCCCUGAAGAAGGGCUCCAAGAAGGCGGUGACCAAGGCGCAGAAGGUUGGCAAGAAGCGCAAGCGCAGCCGCAAGGAGAGCUACUCUGCUGAAGCAGGUCCACCCCGACACCCGCAUCUCUUCCAAGGCCAUUCGUUAAUGACAUCGUUGAGGGCAUCGCGGGCGAGUCUUCCGGCCUGGCGCAUUACAACAAGCGCUCGAUCAUCACCUCCAGGGAGAUCCAGACGGCUGUGCGCCUGCUGCUGCCCGGGGAGCUGGCCAAGCACGCCGUGUCGGAGGGCACCAAGGCCGUCACCCAGUACACCAGCUCCAAG
RNAcentral lists this long non-coding RNA (341 nucleotides) under Homo sapiens (human). RNAcentral describes it as "non-protein coding lnc-MICU2-4:1". The record is from RNAcentral. Lineage: Eukaryota; Metazoa; Chordata; Mammalia; Primates; Hominidae.